GCUUUAUAACGACUGUGUUUGUACGAGUGUUUCUUGCACGUGGCCCGUUGUGCGUCAGUGACGUUGUUAGUCGGCCAUCUCGAGCUUCCUUUUCAUGUUAUUCUCAUUUCUGUUACCUUUGAGCUCUGCCAAGAUUCUUCUGCUAUGCUUUCAUUGUCUUAAAAUUCAUACUUUUUUUGAUCGAGCUGCUGUUAACUUCAUGAGUAACACGGCGUCCUCUUCCGUUGCUGACCAGUAUUUUCCCAGCUCCAGCUCGAAUACCAAUGAUUUUUCUUCACUUUCAGAGAUUUUACGAUGUCCGCUUUAGUUUUUUUUUCUCAGAUCAGAGUUUGCACAGCUGAUGAGAUCUUUAAAUCACAUUUUAUGGCUCUUUUGGCAUUUUGAAAGUCAUCUCACAUCUUUUUUUAAUUUUAAUUCUUUAGAAGUAGCGAUUAUAAAUGUACAAGCUUUGUGAAAACUUUUAAAUGAAUAGUUUAACAUGUUGUGAAAAA
Molecule: long non-coding RNA, 491 nt
Organism: Sander lucioperca (pikeperch)
Lineage: Eukaryota; Metazoa; Chordata; Actinopteri; Perciformes; Percidae
Exons: 2
Source: RefSeq, a predicted model, not a curated record